CCCCGUACGUGAUGUAGUGUUAGGGGUUCCGCCCCUUAGUGCUGCAGCUAACGCGUUAAGCACUCCGCCUGGGGAGUACGACCGCAAGGUUGAAACUCAAAGGAAUUGACGGGGAACCCGCACAAGCGGUGGAGCAUGUGGUUUAAUUCGAAGCAACGCGAAGAACCUUACCAAAUCUUGACAUCCUCUGACCCCUCUAGAGAUAGAGUUUUCCCCUUCGGGGGACAGAGUGACAGGUGGUGCAUGGUUUGUCGUCAGCUCGUGUCGUGAGAUGUUGGGUUAAGUCCCGCAACGAGCGCAACCCUUAAGCUUAGUUGCCAUCAUUAAGUUGGGCACUCUAAGUUGACUGCCGGUGACCAAACCGGAGGAAGGUGGGGAUGUACUUUCAAAUUUAUCAUG
This 399-nucleotide ribosomal RNA is filed under the name uncultured bacterium. RNAcentral describes it as "bacterial SSU rRNA". It matches the Rfam family "Bacterial small subunit ribosomal RNA", at positions 798 to 1197 of the family's 1533-position model. The record is from RNAcentral.